UACGUAGGGGGCAAGCGUUGUCCGGAAUUAUUGGGCGUAAAGAGCGAGCAGGCGGUUUGGAAAGUUGGACGUGAAAUUUUAGGGCUUAACCCUAAAGGGUCGUCCAAAACUCCCAGACUAGAGUGCAGGAGAGGAAAGCGGAAUUCCCGGUGUAGUGGUGAAAUGCGUAGAUAUCGGGAGGAACACCAGAGGCGAAGGCGGCUUUCUGGCCUGUAACUGACGCUGAGGCGCGAAGGCUGGGGUAGCGAACAGG
Molecule: ribosomal RNA, 253 nt
Filed under: uncultured bacterium
Lineage: Bacteria
Description: partial 16S ribosomal RNA
Rfam family: Bacterial small subunit ribosomal RNA
Source: RNAcentral